RNAcentral lists this ribosomal RNA (301 nucleotides) under uncultured bacterium. RNAcentral describes it as "partial 16S ribosomal RNA". It matches the Rfam family "Bacterial small subunit ribosomal RNA", at positions 509 to 807 of the family's 1533-position model. The record is from RNAcentral.
CAGCCGCCGCGGUAAUACGGAGGGUGCAGGCGUUAAUCGGAAUUACUGGGCGUAAAGCGCACGCAGGCGGUCUGACAAGUCAGAUGUGAAAUCCCCGGGCUUAACCUGGGAACUGCAUUUGAAACUGUCAGGCUGGAGUCUUGUAGAGGGGGGUAGAAUUCCAGGUGUAGCGGUGAAAUGCGUAGAGAUCUGGAGGAAUACCGGUGGCGAAGGCGGCCCCCUGGACAAAGACUGACGCUCAGGUGCGAAAGCGUGGGGAGCAAACAGGAUUAGAUACCCGUGUAGUCCCUGUCUCUUAUAC